UGGGGAAUAUUGCACAAUGGGCGCAAGCCUGAUGCAGCGACGCCGCGUGAGGGAUGGAGGCCUUCGGGUUGUAAACCUCUUUCGCCAGUGAAGCAGGCCAUCUUCUUUGUGGGGUGGUUGACGGUAGCUGGAUAAGAAGCGCCGGCUAACUACGUGCCAGCAGCCGCGGUAAUACGUAGGGCGCGAGCGUUGUCCGGAAUUAUUGGGCGUACAGAGCUCGUAUGCGGCUGGUCGCGUCUGUCGUGAAAUCCCCUGGCUUAACUGGGGGCUUGCGGUGGGUACGGGCCGGCUUGCGUGCGGUAGGGGAGUCUGGAAUUCCUGGUGUAGCGGUGGAAUGCGCAGAUAUCAGGAGGAACACCGGUGGCGAAGGCGGGUCUCUGGGCCGUUACUGACGCUGAGGAGCGAAAGCGUGGGGAGCGAACAGG
This 425-nucleotide ribosomal RNA is filed under the name bacterium. RNAcentral's name for it is "partial 16S ribosomal RNA". It matches the Rfam family "Bacterial small subunit ribosomal RNA", at positions 355 to 776 of the family's 1533-position model. The record is from RNAcentral.